This 369-nucleotide ribosomal RNA is filed under the name uncultured bacterium. RNAcentral describes it as "bacterial SSU rRNA". It matches the Rfam family "Bacterial small subunit ribosomal RNA", at positions 527 to 896 of the family's 1533-position model. The record is from RNAcentral.
GAACCGUGCGAACGUUGUUCGGAAUCACUGGGCUUAAAGGGCGCGUAGGCGGUCUGCCAAGUCCGGGGUGAAAGCCCCCAGCUCAACUGGGGAAGUGCCUUGGAUACUGGUGGACUUGAGCGAGAUAGGGGUUGUGGGAACUUCCGGUGGAGCGGUGAAAUGCGUUGAUAUCGGAAGGAACGCCGGUGGCGAAAGCGCACAACUGGACCUCUUCUGACGCUGAGGCGCGAAAGCCAGGGGAGCAAACGGGAUUAGAUACCCCGGUAGUCCUGGCCCUAAACGAUGGGUACUAGGUAGUGGACUGACAUGGGUUCACUGCCGAAGCAAAAGUGGUAAGUACCCCGCCUGGGGAGUAUGGUCGCAAGGCUG